This 120-nucleotide ribosomal RNA is filed under the name Escherichia coli. Its description in RNAcentral is "partial 16S ribosomal RNA". It matches the Rfam family "Bacterial small subunit ribosomal RNA", at positions 1 to 110 of the family's 1533-position model. The record is from RNAcentral. Lineage: Bacteria; Pseudomonadati; Pseudomonadota; Gammaproteobacteria; Enterobacterales; Enterobacteriaceae.
UUAAAUUGAAGAGUUUGAUCAUGGCUCAGAUUGAACGCUGGCGGCAGGCCUAACACAUGCAAGUCGAACGGUAACAGGAAACAGCUUGCUGAUUUCGCUGACGAGUGGCGGACGGGUGAG